Molecule: ribosomal RNA, 491 nt
Filed under: uncultured bacterium
Lineage: Bacteria
Description: bacterial SSU rRNA
Rfam family: Bacterial small subunit ribosomal RNA
Source: RNAcentral
UGCAAGUCGAACGGUAACAGGUCUUCGGAUGCUGACGAGUGGCGAACGGGUGAGUAAUACAUCGGAACGUGCCCGAUCGUGGGGGAUAACGAGGCGAAAGCUUUGCUAAUACCGCAUACGAUCUACGGAUGAAAGCGGGGGAUCUUCGGACCUCGCGCGGACGGAGCGGCCGAUGACAGAUUAGGUAGUUGGUGGGAUAAAAGCUUACCAAGCCGACGAUCUGUAGCUGGUCUGAGAGGAUGAUCAGCCACACUGGGACUGAGACACGGCCCAGACUCCUACGGGAGGCAGCAGUGGGGAAUUUUGGACAAUGGGCGAAAGCCUGAUCCAGCCAUGCCGCGUGCAGGAUGAAGGCCUUCGGGUUGUAAACUGCUUUUGUACGGAACGAAAAGCCUCUUUCUAAUAAAGAGGGGUCAUGACGGUACCGUAAGAAUAAGCACCGGCUAACUACGUGCCAGCAGCCGCGGUAAUACGUAGGGUGCAAGCGUUAA